GGGGGGACGCCCAAACCACAUCAGUUUGGCAAUAGGUACUGGUCAGAGCCGGAGACCAGGAUGACCCUGCGCCCUCCGCUGAGGUGUAGAGUGACCAGCGAGGGGAACUCCAGGGUAAAACAGAGUGGCAACCCCUAAGGACCUGGGGGACAAACAGCACAAAGAUCCUUUAAUGAAGCAUUUUCAGAGCUUAGGAUAUUUCCAACAAAAUAUUUUCCCCAAAAGAUGUCUUUAAUAAUACUGGAUGCGUUGAUUUUAAGAGGGUCCUAAAGAGACACGUUUGAGUCACCGGUCUCUCUCCCGUGUACUGGUAUUUUCAAUACAUAAUGUCUGGAGCAGAGCAUGGAAAUGGCCUGAAAAUAGCCUCUCCUUUGCAUGCAGGAACACACAGAUGAGAGGAUGUGUCUUCAGGAGCAAGGGAUUUUGAAACAUAUUAAGAAAUCAGAAAUAAUCGACUUCAAAGUGCCACACACCUUGAUGACGUGCACAUCAGUGGGCAUUGAUUUUGUGACUUUGCCAAGUACACAGAAUGAAAAUCUUCCUUUUAUGGCGGGGGUAGGGGAUCAUUAUCUUGAGGACAUGUCACAUGAAGCAAGUGGAAAGGUGAAAGUCGCCCCUUCCUCCCACCUGCACUGUGGAAAGUAGUUGAACCUGAGGGGCGAGAGAAGGAGAAGAAAGGCUGCAAUUUUCCCGGAGCCUUUGUGAUGAUUUGAAUAUCUAGGAUUUGAAUAUUCAUUCAUUCCAACCUAAAGUUCGUACAGUGUUGGGCAUGUCUCUUGCCGCCAGCUGUGUGGUGGGCAGUGUGGGGUGUGAAGCCUCGUAACGCCUGUACUGACUGACUGUGCCUGGGCUGCUGAUUGUCCGACUUCCUUCUCCAUCCCACUACAUGGAUGAAUACAGGUAAGGUGUGAACUUCGUAGUCUUCAGAACAAGCCUGAUAUACAAUGCAAUCUUUGCUGCUAUCAAAUGUGAUCUAAACAUCUUAACUCUUCAAUGAACACUGAUGAGUUCUGUGAUUAAUAUACUUUAGAGCAACACUAGGACACUUGAUGCAAGCUG
Molecule: long non-coding RNA, 1059 nt
Filed under: Macaca mulatta (Rhesus monkey)
Lineage: Eukaryota; Metazoa; Chordata; Mammalia; Primates; Cercopithecidae
Description: lncRNA (ENSMMUG00000057305.1)
Source: RNAcentral